CUACGUAGGGGGCGAGCGUUGUCCGGAAUGAUUGGGCGUAAAGGGCGCGUAGGCGGCGCGGUAAGUCUGGAGUGAAAGUCCUGCUUUCAAGGUGGGAAUUGCUUUGGAUACUGCCGCGCUUGAGUGCAGGAGAGGUUAUCGGAAUUCCCGGUGUAGCGGUGAGAUGCGUAGAGAUCGGGAGGAACACCAGUGGCGAAGGCGGGUAACUGGACUGCAACUGACGCUGAGGCGCGAAAGUGUGGGGAGCAAACAGGAUUAGAUACCCUGGUAGUCCACACUGUAAACGAUGAAUACUAGGUGUAGGGGGUAUCGACUCCCUCUGUGCCGCAGUUAACACAAUAAGUAUUCCGCCUGGGGAGUACGGCCGCAAGGUUGAAACUCAAAGGAAUUGACGGGG
This 397-nucleotide ribosomal RNA is filed under the name uncultured bacterium. RNAcentral's name for it is "partial 16S ribosomal RNA". It matches the Rfam family "Bacterial small subunit ribosomal RNA", at positions 523 to 918 of the family's 1533-position model. The record is from RNAcentral.